Molecule: long non-coding RNA, 1869 nt
Filed under: Mytilus galloprovincialis (Mediterranean mussel)
Lineage: Eukaryota; Metazoa; Mollusca; Bivalvia; Mytilida; Mytilidae
Source: RNAcentral
CUAGGAUUGCUAUCUUCAAAACUUGAGUUUAUUAGAAACUGAACCCUCCCCUAAUACCUCUAGCCAAUAUAGAAAAAACACACAACAAUACGCGCAGUAAAAAAAAACAAUUAAAAAAAGUCCAAAUCAUAUGUCAGAAUAGAAAAAAGUAAAAUCACAAAAAUACUAAACUCCGAGGAAAAUUCAAUCGGAAAGUCCCUUAUCACAUGGUAAAAUCAAAUGACAAAACACAUCAAGAACGAAUGGACAACAACUGCCAUAUUCCAGACUUGGUACAGGCAAUUUUAAAUGUAGAAAAUGGUGGAUUGAAAUAGGUAAAAACAAAACAAAAACUGAACAAAAUGACAAUAAUACAUAAAUUAGCAAAGGACUACUAGCAGUUAUUGACAUGCUAGCUCCAGACCUCAAUUAAAUUGAUUGAAAGAGUAUUAUCUUCAUCUUAGUAUGAUGAAAAUCAAAUAUGAUUCUGAUCAAGUUCAUUAAAUUUGGUAUUCAGUCUACAGUUUCACUGUUAUACUUAUCAAAACUGUAUGCACAGGUUUUUUUGUUAUUACACUGUUUUGAUUUAGAAGUAAAAACGAUUUGUUUAGAAAAUACAAAACAUUACACCAUUCCUUACAUAACAGUCUUGUAAUGGUUACAACAUACAUAAAAUAACAACAUCACAAGCUUAAUCUGUUUGUAGAAACUUACCUGUGACAUCAUUUUUUGUGACCAUGAUACAUUCGUAUGACGAACUGUUGACUGUCAUCAAAGUGAGAGGGUUAGCGCUAUUAAACCGGGUUUAAUCCACCAUUUUCUACAUUUGAAAGUGCCUGUACCAAGUCAGGGAUAUGACAGUUCUUGUCCAUUCGUUUUGAUGCGUUUUGUUAUUUGAUUUUGCCAUGAAAUUAUGAACUUUCCGAAUUGAUUUUCCUCUAAGUUCAGUAUUUUUGUGAUCUUACUUUUUGAACAUUCUAUUGUGGUAUACUUUAGAUUUUAAUAUUAAAUUAUAGACUCUCGGUUUGAAUUUUCCUCGCAAUUAUGUAUUUUAGUUAUUUUAAUUUUUCAAAGUUAUUUUGUUUAAAAUUCUAAUAAAUGCAUAUUUUUCGUAUGAAUACAAUAUUGCAUGAGACGUCUUCUGCUAAACAACAGCGUAUUUGUUACAUAAUGAGCCUCAAUGAAAUUCCGGAUUCUUAAGAAUGUGAGAAAGCAAUGUGUUCGUAGUUCUCUCCUGAUUGAUUGACAGAAAGCAAUGUGUUCGUAGUUCACUCGUGAUUGAUUGACAGCUCCCCUGAUUGAUUGACAGAAAGCAAUGUGUUCGUAGUUCUCUCGUGAUUGAUUGACAGAAAGCAAUGUGUUCUUAGUUCUCUCGUGAUUGAUUGACAGAAAGCAAUGUGUUCGUAGUUCACUCCUGAUUGAUUGACAGAAAGCAAUGUGUUCGUAGUUCUCUCGUGAUUGAUUGACAGAAAGCAAUGUGUUCGUAGUUCUCCCCUGAUUGAUUGACAGAAAGCAAUGUGUUCGUAGUUCUCUCGUGAUUGAUUGACAGAAGCAUGUGUUCGUAGUUUCUCUCUGAUUGAUUGACAGAAAGCAUGUGUUCGUAGAUUCUCUCCUGAUUGAUUGACAGAAAGCAAUGUGUUCGUAGUUCUCUCGUAAUUGAUUGACAGAAAGCAAUGUGUUCGUAGUUCUCUCGUAAUUGAUUGACAGAAAGCAAUGUGUUCGUAGUUCUCUCGUGAUUUGAUGACAGAAAGCAAUGUGUUCGUAGUUCUCUUCUGAUUGAUUGACAGAAAGCAAUGUGUUCGUAGUUCUCUCCUGAUUGAUUGACAGAAAGCAAUGUGUUCGUAGUUCUCUCGUAAUUGAUUGACAGAAGCUAUUGUGUUCGUAGUUCUC